RNAcentral lists this ribosomal RNA (565 nucleotides) under uncultured Glomeromycotina. RNAcentral's name for it is "SSU rRNA". It matches the Rfam family "Eukaryotic small subunit ribosomal RNA", at positions 548 to 1114 of the family's 1831-position model. Lineage: Eukaryota; Fungi; Glomeromycota. The record is from RNAcentral.
UUGGAGGGCAAGUCUGGUGCCAGCAGCCGCGGUAAUUCCAGCUCCAAUAGCGUAUAUUAAAGUUGUUGCAGUUAAAAAGCUCGUAGUUGAAUUUCGGGAUCAAUUUGCUGGUCGUGCCUCUGGUACGUACUGGUAUUAUUGGUUUCUCCCUUCCGACGAACCAUGAUGUCAUUAAUUUGAUGUCGUGGAGAAUCAGGACUGUUACUUUGAAAAAAUUAGAGUGUUUAAAGCAGGCAUUAGCUUGAAUACAUUAGCAUGGAAUAAUGAAAUAGGACGUUUGAUCCUAUUUUGUUGGUUUCUAGGAUUGACGUAAUGAUUAAUAGGGAUAGUUGGGGGCAUUAGUAUUCAAUUGUCAGAGGUGAAAUUCUUGGAUUUUUUGAAGACUAACUACUGCGAAAGCAUUUGCCAAGGAUGUUUUCAUUAAUCAAGAACGAAAGUUAGGGGAUCGAAGACGAUCAGAUACCGUCGUAGUCUUAACCAUAAACUAUGCCGACUAGGAAUCAGACGAUGUUAAUUUUUUAAUGACUCGUUUGGCACCUUACGGGAAACCAAAGUGUUUGGGUUC